UCAGGGCACAAACCCACCUUAAAGAGACUUGUCUUCUUCCAUUCCCAGCCUAUUUUCAUGCACCAUUUGCAAGCAAGAGGCUGAAUGGUUUGCAAAAAUAAGGACGUUGUCCCGUUAAACCAAAAGAACUAAACUGGAUGAAUAUUGUAGGAGAAAUCUAGAGGAAAGUUUUGAUUUGUGAAAUUUGUUUUCCUGAAAAAUCAUUCAUUCUGCAGAAAGGAUUUAUAACUGUCCACCACCAAGUGACGAGCUAAUGUUGAGCUUCACAGAUGGAAUUACUCAAACACCAUCAAUGCCUGUGUUUUCAGCAC
RNAcentral lists this long non-coding RNA (311 nucleotides) under Mytilus galloprovincialis (Mediterranean mussel). Lineage: Eukaryota; Metazoa; Mollusca; Bivalvia; Mytilida; Mytilidae. The record is from RNAcentral.